UGACAUAUGGCAUUAAAUGCAUCGUAUG
Molecule: small RNA, 28 nt
Filed under: Bombyx mori (domestic silkworm)
Lineage: Eukaryota; Metazoa; Arthropoda; Insecta; Lepidoptera; Bombycidae
Description: ovarian small RNA-31442
Source: RNAcentral